AGUGAACGCUGGCGGUAGGCCUAACACAUGCAAGUCGAACGGCAGCACAGGAGAGCUUGCUCUCUGGGUGGCGAGUGGCGGACGGGUGAGGAAUACAUCGGAAUCUACUCUGUCGUGGGGGAUAACGUAGGGAAACUUACGCUAAUACCGCAUACGACCUACGGGUGAAAGCAGGGGACCUUCGGGCCUUGCGCGAUUGAAUGAGCAGAUGUCGGAUUAGCUAGUUGGCGGGGGAAAGGCCCACCAAGGCUACGAUCCGUAGCUGGUCUGAGAGGAUGAUCAGCCACACUGGAACUGAGACACGGUCCAGACUCCUACGGUAGGCAGCAGUGGGGAAUAUUGGACAAUGGGCGCAAGCCUGAUCCAGCCAUACCGCGUGGGUGAAGAAGGCCUUCGGGUUGUAAAGCCCUUUUGUUGGGAAAGAAAUCCAGCUGGCUAAUACCCGGUUGGGAUGACGGUACCCAAAGAAUAAGCACCGGCUAACUUCGUGCCAGCCGCCGCCGUAA
RNAcentral lists this ribosomal RNA (506 nucleotides) under uncultured bacterium. RNAcentral's name for it is "partial 16S ribosomal RNA". It matches the Rfam family "Bacterial small subunit ribosomal RNA", at positions 29 to 523 of the family's 1533-position model. The record is from RNAcentral.